CGGAGGGGUGCGUAGCGUUUUAUUCCGUAGUUACUGGGUCGUAAAUCCCGCCGUGUAGCCUGCUUUAUUAUGCCGCCUUGCGAAAAUCCCCUGGGGUCUACCUCGUGAGCGGCCUCCUGGACCUGUCGAGGUUAGAGUGCAGGAGAGAAGGUCGACUACUUCGCGGUAGCGCCGCAAAUGCGUAGAGAUAUGGAGAAUACCAGUGUCGAAGGGGGCUCUCUUGGCCUGUCACUGACACUGAGUUGCGAAAGCGUGUGUAGCACACACGGAUUAGAUACCCCCUGUAGUGCACGCGCGUAUACUGAUGUCUCUCCAGCCGUUGGGUGCCUAGCGCGCAUUUGUGGCGAAGUUUUCUCGAUAUAUUUCGCCCCUGGGGAGUAACGCCGCCAAGUUUAAAACUCAAUGAAUUUUGACGGGGGCCGUCACAAGCGGUGGACCAGGUGGUUUAUUUCGAUGCACCGGGAAGACCCUUACUUACUCUUGCCAUCCUGCGAAUUUGGUAGAGAUACCUUAGUCCCUUCGGGAACGCAGAGACAGGUGCUGCAUGGCUGUCGUCAGCUCGUGUUGUGAAAUGUUGGGUUAAGUCCCGUAACGAGCGCAACCCUUGUCCUUAUUUGCCAGCGCGUAAUGGCGGGAACUCUAAGGAGACUGCCGGUGACAAACCGGAGGAAGGUGGGGACGACGUCAAGUCAUCAUGGCCCUUACGAGUAGGGCUACACACGUGCUACAAUGGUCGGUACAAAGGGUUGCCAACUCGCGAGAGUGAGCCAAUCCCGAAAAGCCGAUCUCAGUCCGGAUCGGAGUCUGCAACUCGACUCCGUGAAGUCGGAAUCGCUAGUAAUCGUGGAUCAGAAUGCCACGGUGAAUACGUUCCCGGGCCUUGUACACACCGCCCGUCACACCACGGGAUAGGGUUGCACCAGAAGUGGUGAGCAUUACUCACGAGGUACGAUCAUGCAGAGUGGUAGC
This is a ribosomal RNA of 969 nucleotides. It matches the Rfam family "Bacterial small subunit ribosomal RNA".